UACGAAGGGGGCUAGCGUUGCUCGGAAUCACUGGGCGUAAAGGGCGCGUAGGCGGUGCGGUAAGUCACCUGUGAAAUCUCCUGGCUCAACUGGGAGCUUGCAGGCGAAACUGCCGUGCUGGAGUGUGGGAGAGGUGCGUGGAAUUCCUGGUGUAGCGGUGAAAUGCGUAGAUAUCAGGAGGAACACCUGUGGCGAAAGCGGCGCACUGGACCACAACUGACGCUGAGGCGCGAAAGCUAGGGGAGCAAACAGG
This 253-nucleotide ribosomal RNA is filed under the name uncultured bacterium. RNAcentral describes it as "partial 16S ribosomal RNA". It matches the Rfam family "Bacterial small subunit ribosomal RNA", at positions 524 to 776 of the family's 1533-position model. The record is from RNAcentral.